This 66-nucleotide transfer RNA is filed under the name Falcolipeurus marginalis. Its description in RNAcentral is "tRNA-Met". The record is from RNAcentral. Lineage: Eukaryota; Metazoa; Arthropoda; Insecta; Psocodea; Philopteridae.
UUGAAGGUAGGCUAUUGUAUUAAGCUUUUAGACUCAUGAUCUGAAUAAGAUUUUUAUCCCUUCUAC